Molecule: unclassified non-coding RNA, 210 nt
Filed under: Glomeraceae sp.
Lineage: Eukaryota; Fungi; Glomeromycota; Glomeromycetes; Glomerales; Glomeraceae
Description: partial contains 5.8S ribosomal RNA and internal transcribed spacer 2
Rfam family: 5.8S ribosomal RNA (bases 1-71)
Source: RNAcentral
GUGAAUCAUCGAAUUUUUGAACGCAAAUUGCACUCCCUGGUAUUCCGGGGAGUAUGCCUGUUUGAGGGUCGUUAGAAUAAAAAAUCGAGGCGUGGCUCUUUUUUUUAAGGGUGAUCGCGUCGGAAUUGAGCCGUCUUUCAAAAGUUAAUUCCUGUCAAAGUGUCUUGGAACUCAGCAAACUGGUACGAUUUAAGCGUAUUUAACUUCAAU